GUGCAUUUCUUCAAUGUUAUUGUAAUAGUAAAUAUCUACUCCAAUUGUUGUUUUUUAAUGCAUUUCAGGUGGACAGGUUUUUCAAUGAUAUGCCUACCACAUCGCAUAUGAGUAAUGCAGGGCUGCCCAUUUUUGGAGGAAAUGGUUACUAUAAGCGUAGAUGGUUCUAUA
Molecule: long non-coding RNA, 171 nt
Organism: Magnolia sinica
Lineage: Eukaryota; Viridiplantae; Streptophyta; Magnoliopsida; Magnoliales; Magnoliaceae
Exons: 2
Source: RefSeq, a predicted model, not a curated record